UGUGCUAAUUCAAAAAUCCACAUUAACCCCUUCAACUAUAUUGAGAACUUCUAUAAUUAUAUAGAACCUUUAAUGCUAAAACUAGUAACAAGAGAAAAUCCUCUCCCUAAUGCAAACAUAAGCCAGCAAGAACCCAUCACUGGCAAUUAACAACCCUAAACAAAAGUAGCAACCUCACUAGAAAACCCUACUUCCCCCAACUGUUAACCUAACACCAGAGCAUUUCAAGAAAGAUUAAAAGAAAAAGAAGGAACUCGGCAAACUCCAGUCCCGCCUGUUUACCAAAAACAUCGCCUCUUGCCCCCCAUAAGAGGUCCAACCUGCCCAGUGACUCUGUUCAACGGCCGCGGUAUCCUAACCGUGCGAAGGUAGCGUAAUCACUUGUUUUCUAAAUAAAGACCUGUAUGAAAGGUAUAACGAGGACUAAACUGUCUCCUUUUUCCAAUCAGUGAACCUAAUCUCCCCGUGAAGAAGCGGGGAUUCCCAUAUAAGACGAGAAGACCCUAUGGAGCUUAAAACAUCAUAACACCUGCCACCCACCUUUAAUUACCCAAGUAUUUCUUCAACCGGCACCCUGAUUUUAUGUUUUUGGUUGGGGUGACCGCGGAGAAAACCUCAUCCUCCGCAAUGAAAGGGGAAUUUCCUCUAAACAAUAAGUUACAACUUUAAGUAUCAAUAAAUUGACAUCCAUUGACCCAAUAAAUUGAUUAAUGAACCAAGUUACCCUAGGGAUAACAGCGCAAUCCACUUUAAGAGCCCCUAUCGACAAGUGGGCUUACGACCUCGAUGUUGGAUCGGGAUAUCCUAGUGGUGCAGCCGCUACUAAGGGUUCGUUUGUUCAACGAU
This 846-nucleotide ribosomal RNA is filed under the name Pristimantis matildae. RNAcentral describes it as "partial large subunit ribosomal RNA". It matches the Rfam family "Bacterial large subunit ribosomal RNA", at positions 1524 to 2588 of the family's 2925-position model. Lineage: Eukaryota; Metazoa; Chordata; Amphibia; Anura; Strabomantidae. The record is from RNAcentral.